UACGUAGGGUGCGAGCGUUGUCCGGAAUUAUUGGGCGUAAAGAGCUCGUAGGCGGUGUGUCACGUCGGCCGUGAAAACCUGCAGCUUAACUGUGGGCGUGCGGUCGAUACGGGCAUCACUGGAGUUCGGCAGGGGAGACUGGAAUUCCUGGUGUAGCGGUGAAAUGCGCAGAUAUCAGGAGGAACACCGGUGGCGAAGGCGGGUCUCUGGGCCGAUACUGACACUGAGGCGCGAAAGCGUGGGGAGCGAACAGG
Molecule: ribosomal RNA, 254 nt
Filed under: uncultured bacterium
Lineage: Bacteria
Description: partial 16S ribosomal RNA
Rfam family: Bacterial small subunit ribosomal RNA
Source: RNAcentral